GCGAUGAGCUGAGUUGGAUAAGUCGGCGGGCACUCCUCCGGGAAAUGCACGAUGUGGCGUGCAGCCCGCCGCCCCAAUACGCAAGGACGCCCUUUAUGGGCGUCCU
This 106-nucleotide small RNA is filed under the name Mesobacillus campisalis. Its description in RNAcentral is "Bacillus campisalis BsrF". It matches the Rfam family "BsrF". Lineage: Bacteria; Bacillati; Bacillota; Bacilli; Caryophanales; Bacillaceae. The record is from Rfam by way of RNAcentral.